ACGGCUCAGUAACACGUGGAUAACCUGCCCAAGGGUCUGGGAUAACCCCGGGGAACUGGGGAUAAUACCGGAUGGAUCACUAGUGCUGGAAUGCUUGGUGGUCGAAAGGCAACGCCUUUGGAUGGGUCUGCGGCGGAUUAGGUUGACGCCGGUGUAACGUACCGGCGUGCCUGUAAUCCGUACGGGUUGUGGGAGCAAGAGCCCGGAGAUGGAUUCUGAGACACGAAUCCAGGCCCUACGGGGCGCAGCAGGCGCGAAAACUCUACAAUGCAGGCAACUGCGAUAGGGGGACAUCGAGUGGCAUCCACCUUGGGUGCCUGUCCAACCGUCUAAAAAACGGUUGUUAGCAAGGGCCGGGUAAGACCGGUGCCAGCCGCCGCGGUAAUACCGGCGGCUCGAGUGGUGGCCGAUAUUAUUGAGUCUAAAGGGUCCGUAGCCGGCUUUGCAAGUCCCCUGGGAAAUCCAGCGGCUUAACCGUUGGGCUUUCAUGGGAUACUACAUUGCUUGGGACUGGGAGAGGUAGGAGGUACUCGGGGGGUAGGGGUGAAAUCCUGUAAUCCUCCGGGGACCACCGGUGGCAAAGGCGUCCUACCAGAACAGGUCCGACGGUGAGGGACGAAAGCUAGGGGCACGAACCGGAUUAGAUACCCGGGUAGUCCUAGCCGUAAACGAUGCCCGCUAGGUGUCACGACGGUCGUGAAUCGUCGUGGUGCCGUAGGGAAGCCGCGAAGCGGGCCACUUGGGAAGUACGGCCGCAAGGCUGAAACUUAAAGGAAUUGGCGGGGGAGCAC
This 791-nucleotide ribosomal RNA is filed under the name uncultured archaeon. Its description in RNAcentral is "bacterial SSU rRNA". It matches the Rfam family "Archaeal small subunit ribosomal RNA", at positions 85 to 879 of the family's 1478-position model. The record is from RNAcentral.